GAAGACAUGCUCUUUCAAAGUGAAAGCAAAACGUCUUCACUAAAAGGGUGGAGAUUCAGCUCUAUUGUAGCAAGGACGUGUCAGGAAAACAAGAAACUAGCAGUCUAUUCAAGACAUGUCUCAGCAGAGUGAAACAGGUUUGGGGAGAAGGUUCUAUGUUCUUGUUGCAGGAAAAACCAAUGGGGCUCAUCAGUCCAUUGUUGAGAAGAUGAAGAACGUGGGCCAAGUUGAAGCACACUCCUUCUGGUUUUCUGUCCUAUAGCUUCACGUGUUCAAACAGACAUCAAUGAGGCCCUCAGAAAGAUUCAGAGCAAUAUACCAGUCAUUCUGGUGGUGAUGCAUCACACCUUCAACCCCAACCUCGUUAUAGCUGGAAGCAGAAAUCAAGUGCAGGAUCCGAACGUCCACCUCACUGUGGAUUAUUGUUUUUUUGAGCAUGAACUCCUCAACUGCAACCGCAAUAAAAUAUCGUGGCAUGAAAUUCAGAAGUUUCUCAGAGUUUCAAUUUCCAGGGCUUGGCUGCAAACUCUAAUUGAAGGUGUGAAGGAAAAUGCCCUUACUGUUACACUUUUUAUUGUGGAUGUUGCUUGUAUAACUUUCGUUGUGACAUGCAUUGUCUUGGCUGAAAAACGUCACUAAACCUGACCUGUAUGGCAAAGCUCA
Molecule: long non-coding RNA, 663 nt
Organism: Girardinichthys multiradiatus
Lineage: Eukaryota; Metazoa; Chordata; Actinopteri; Cyprinodontiformes; Goodeidae
Exons: 6
Source: RefSeq, a predicted model, not a curated record